RNAcentral lists this ribosomal RNA (462 nucleotides) under uncultured bacterium. RNAcentral's name for it is "bacterial SSU rRNA". It matches the Rfam family "Bacterial small subunit ribosomal RNA", at positions 1 to 449 of the family's 1533-position model. The record is from RNAcentral.
CCCUUAGAGUUUGAUCCUGGCUCAGGAUGAACGCUGGCGGCGUGCCUAACACAUGCAAGUCGAACGAAGCAAUUGAAGGAAGUUUUCGGAUGGAAUUCGAUUGACUGAGUGGCGGACGGGUGAGUAACGCGUGGAUAACCUGCCUCACACUGGGGGAUAACAGUUAGAAAUGACUGCUAAUACCGCAUAAGCGCACAGUACCGCAUGGUACGGUGUGAAAAACUCCGGUGGUGUGAAAUGGAUCCGCGUCUGAUUAGCCAGUUGGCGGGGUAACGGCCCACCAAAGCGACGAUCAGUAGCCGACCUGAGAGGGUGACCGGCCACAUUGGGACUGAGACACGGCCCAAACUCCUACGGGAGGCAGCAGUGGGGAAUAUUGCACAAUGGGCGAAAGCCUGAUGCAGCGACGCCGCGUGAGUGAAGAAGUAUUUCGGUAUGUAAAGCUCUAUCAGCAGGGAAGAA